RNAcentral lists this non-coding RNA (25 nucleotides) under Mus musculus (house mouse). Lineage: Eukaryota; Metazoa; Chordata; Mammalia; Rodentia; Muridae. The record is from RNAcentral.
UGAGACACUUAGACCACUGUGACAA